UGUAUGGUUAAGUGACUAAGCGUACACGGUGGAUGCCUGGGCAGUCAGAGGCGAUGAAGGACGUACUAACUUGCGAUAAGCGCAGAUAAGGCAGUAAGAGCCGUUUGAGUCUGCGAUUUCCGAAUGGGGAAACCCAACUGCAUAAGCAGUUACUGUUAACUGAAUACAUAGGUUAACAGAGCAAACCGGGGGAACUGAAACAUCUAAGUACCCCGAGGAGAAGAAAUCAACCGAGAUUCCGGUAGUAGCGGCGAGCGAACCUGGAUUAGCCCUUAAGCACUCGGUGAAGUAGGUGAACAAGCUGGAAAGCUUGGCGAUACAGGGUGAUAGCCCCGUAACCGACGCUUCAUCGAGCGUGAAAUCGAGUAGGGCGGGACACGUGAUAUCCUGUCUGAAUAUGGGGGGACCAUCCUCCAAGGCUAAAUACUCCUGACUGACCGAUAGUGAACCAGUACCGUGAGGGAAAGGCGAAAAGAACCCCUGUGAGGGGAGUGAAAUAGAACCUGAAACCGUGUACGUACAAGCAGUAGGAGCACCUUCGUGGUGUGACUGCGUACCUUUUGUAUAAUGGGUCAGCGACUUAUAUUCAGUGGCAAGGUUAACCGUAUAGGGGAGCCGUAGCGAAAGCGAGUCUUAACUGGGCGCUCAGUCUCUGGAUAUAGACCCGAAACCGGGUGAUCUAGCCAUGGGCAGGUUGAAGGUUGAGUAACAUCAACUGGAGGACCGAACCGACUAAUGUUGAAAAAUUAGCGGAUGACUUGUGGCUAGGGGUGAAAGGCCAAUCAAACUCGGAGAUAGCUGGUUCUCCCCGAAAGCUAUUUAGGUAGCGCCUCGGACGAAUACUACUGGGGGUAGAGCACUGUUAAGGCUAGGGGGUCAUCCCGACUUACCAACCCUUUGCAAACUCCGAAUACCAGUAAGUACUAUCCGGGAGACACACGGCGGGUGCUAACGUCCGUCGUGGAGAGGGAAACAACCCAGACCGCCAGCUAAGGUCCCAAAGUAUUGCUAAGUGGGAAACGAUGUGGGAAGGCUCAGACAGCUAGGAUGUUGGCUUAGAAGCAGCCAUCAUUUAAAGAAAGCGUAAUAGCUCACUAGUCGAGUCGGCCUGCGCGGAAGAUGUAACGGGGCUAAGCAAUACACCGAAGCUGCGGCAAUAUCUUUUAGAUAUUGGGUAGGGGAGCGUUCUGUAAGCCGUUGAAGGUGAAUCGUAAGGUUUGCUGGAGGUAUCAGAAGUGCGAAUGCUGACAUGAGUAACGACAAAGGGGGUGAAAAACCUCCUCGCCGGAAGACCAAGGGUUCCUGUCCAACGUUAAUCGGGGCAGGGUGAGUCGACCCCUAAGGUGAGGCCGAAAGGCGUAAUCGAUGGGAAACGGGUUAAUAUUCCCGUACUUCUGACUAUUGCGAUGGGGGGACGGAGAAGGCUAGGUGGGCCAGGCGACGGUUGUCCUGGUUCAAGUGCGUAGGCUUGAGAGUUAGGUAAAUCCGGCUCUCUCUAAGGCUGAGACACGACGUCGAGCUACUACGGUAGUGAAGUCAUUGAUGCCAUGCUUCCAGGAAAAGCCUCUAAGCUUCAGAUAGUCAGGAAUCGUACCCCAAACCGACACAGGUGGUCGGGUAGAGAAUACCAAGGCGCUUGAGAGAACUCGGGUGAAGGAACUAGGCAAAAUGGUACCGUAACUUCGGGAGAAGGUACGCUCUUGAUGGUGAAGUCCCUCGCGGAUGGAGCUGACGAGAGUCGCAGAUACCAGGUGGCUGCAACUGUUUAUUAAAAACACAGCACUGUGCAAAAUCGCAAGAUGACGUAUACGGUGUGACGCCUGCCCGGUGCCGGAAGGUUAAUUGAUGGGGUUAGCGCAAGCGAAGCUCUUGAUCGAAGCCCCGGUAAACGGCGGCCGUAACUAUAACGGUCCUAAGGUAGCGAAAUUCCUUGUCGGGUAAGUUCCGACCUGCACGAAUGGCGUAAUGAUGGCCACGCUGUCUCCACCCGAGACUCAGUGAAAUUGAAAUCGCUGUGAAGAUGCAGUGUACCCGCGGCUAGACGGAAAGACCCCGUGAACCUUUACUACAGCUUGGCACUGAACAUUGAACCUACAUGUGUAGGAUAGGUGGGAGGCUAUGAAGACGUGACGCCAGUUGCGUUGGAGCCGUCCUUGAAAUACCACCCUUGUAUGU
RNAcentral lists this ribosomal RNA (2175 nucleotides) under Vibrio cholerae O1 biovar El Tor str. N16961. Its description in RNAcentral is "partial 23S ribosomal RNA". It matches the Rfam family "Bacterial large subunit ribosomal RNA", at positions 1 to 2213 of the family's 2925-position model. Lineage: Bacteria; Pseudomonadati; Pseudomonadota; Gammaproteobacteria; Vibrionales; Vibrionaceae. The record is from RNAcentral.